RNAcentral lists this ribosomal RNA (599 nucleotides) under Cortinarius azureus. RNAcentral describes it as "eukaryotic LSU rRNA". It matches the Rfam family "Eukaryotic large subunit ribosomal RNA", at positions 1 to 600 of the family's 3401-position model. Lineage: Eukaryota; Fungi; Basidiomycota; Agaricomycetes; Agaricales; Cortinariaceae. The record is from RNAcentral.
UGACCUCAAAUCAGGUAGGACUACCCGCUGAACUUAAGCAUAUCAAUAAGCGGAGGAAAAGAAACUAACAAGGAUUCCCCUAGUAACUGCGAGUGAAGCGGGAAAAGCUCAAAUUUAAAAUCUGUCAGUCUUUGAUUGAUCGAGUUGUAAUCUAGAGAAGUGUUAUCCGCGCUGGACCGUGUACAAGUCUCCUGGAAUGGAGCGUCAUAGAGGGUGAGAAUCCCGUCUUUGACACGGACUACCAGGGCUUUGUGAUGCGCUCUCAAAGAGUCGAGUUGUUUGGGAAUGCAGCUCAAAAUGGGUGGUAAAUUCCAUCUAAAGCUAAAUAUUGGCGAGAGACCGAUAGCGAACAAGUACCGUGAGGGAAAGAUGAAAAGAACUUUGGAAAGAGAGUUAAACAGUACGUGAAAUUGCUGAAAGGGAAACGCUUGAAGUCAGUCGCGUUGUCCAGGGAUCAACCUUGCUUUUGCUUGGUGUACUUUCUGGUUAACGGGUCAGCAUCAAUUUUGAUCAUUGGAAAAAGAUUAGGGGAAUGUGGCAUCUUWGGAUGUGUYAUAGCCCUUGGUUGUAUACAAUGRWYAGGAUUGARGAACUCASCA